RNAcentral lists this ribosomal RNA (460 nucleotides) under uncultured bacterium. RNAcentral describes it as "partial 16S ribosomal RNA". It matches the Rfam family "Bacterial small subunit ribosomal RNA", at positions 338 to 795 of the family's 1533-position model. The record is from RNAcentral.
CCUACGGGUGGCAGCAGUGAGGAAUAUUGGUCAAUGGGCGCGAGCCUGAACCAGCCAAGUCGCGUGAAGGAUGAAUGCUCUACGGGUUUUAAACUUCUUUUAUAAAGGAAUAAAGUGAGGCACGUGUGCCUUUUUGUAUGUACUUUAUGAAUAAGGAUCGGCUAACUCCGUGCCAGCAGCCGCGGUAAUACGGAGGAUCCGAUCGUUAUCCGGAUUUAUUGGGUUUAAAGGGUGCGUAGAUGGGUUGUUAAGUCAGUUGGGAAAGUUUGCGGCUCAACCGUAAAAUUGCAAUUGAUACUGGCAGUCUUGAGUACAGUUGAGGUAGGCGGAAUUCGUGGUGUAGCGGUGAAAUGCUUAGAGAUCACGAAGAACUCCGAUUGCGAAGGCAGCUUACUAAACUGCCACUGACAUUGAUGCUCGAAAGUGUGGGGAGCAAACAGGAUUAGAUACCCGAGUAGUC